AUUGAACGCUGGCGGCAUGCCUUACACAUGCAAGUCGAGCGCGAAAGGGGGCAACCCCGAGUAGAGCGGCGGACGGGUGAGUAACACAUCGGAACGUGCCCAGUAGUGGGGGACAACCUCGAGAAAUCGAGGCUAAUACCGCAUACGACCCACGGGUGAAAGCGGGGGACCGCAAGGCCUCGCGCUAUUGGAGCGGCCGAUGUCCGAUUAGCUAGUUGGCGGGGUAANAGCCCACCAAGGCGACGAUCGGUAGCUGGUCUGAGAGGACGACCAGCCACACUGGGACUGAGACACGGCCCAGACUCCUACGGGAGGCAGCAGUGGGGAAUUUUGGACAAUGGGGCAACCCUGAUCCAGCCAUGCCGCGUGC
This 370-nucleotide ribosomal RNA is filed under the name uncultured bacterium. RNAcentral describes it as "bacterial SSU rRNA". It matches the Rfam family "Bacterial small subunit ribosomal RNA", at positions 29 to 404 of the family's 1533-position model. The record is from RNAcentral.